Coffea arabica (coffee) is the source of this 1530-nucleotide non-coding RNA. The record is from RefSeq and is a predicted model, not a curated record. NCBI's taxonomy places the organism in Eukaryota, Viridiplantae, Streptophyta, Magnoliopsida, Gentianales, Rubiaceae.
UUGCUUGUUUUGGUAACAAGGAAAGAAAAUGAAAAGAGAAACACGUAAAUGUGUCAAAUGUGACAAGUUAAGAGACUAUUUAAAACCUUUAAACCUUGUUUAGCCCUUUUAAUUUCUUUCUUUUUUAUAUUGGCUGGCAGGAGAUAUGGGCAAAAGCAUUCUAGUGGUGUUCUUUUACUCUCGAAUAGUUAAUUGUAAGCCUUAUAAAAAUUGAGAAACUCGAAAUUCAAUAAGCAUUGUACUAACAUCACUCUAUCAUAUUUCCUCUUGAUUACUUUGCAUGUAUUUGUUAACUAUAGCUGAGACAGGGUAAUUAAACUGGAGGAACAUGUUACAGCGAAUAUAUGCACGAGUCUCUGAAGAUAUUGUCAGAAAGGCACCUAUAUAUGCUUUUUUGAUGUGUGAUUUUCCUACCAGGUGUUGAAAAUAACUGAAUGUGUUCCAUAAUUGAUUUCAUAUAUAAUCUAAUCUGAUACUGAGUUCAUACAGGUCCGAGAUAUUUGAUGCAUUGUUGCCGAAGCUUUGAUCUGGGGCAUUCAUCAAGGUCAAGUUUUGUACCAUCUCCAAUGUCCAACCUGCAAAAAGCUUCAAUCCAAUGUUGAAAAGCUAACUUUCUGGCCUUAUCAUCCUGAGAUAAGCCCUUUCCAACCUACAGAAAAAUAAGAUUCAGCGAAGAACUUCAGAGUUCAGAAGUACAAGGUCGGAGCAGGGGGGGCCUUAAACUUCAAUUUGUACAUCCUAAUGCUUGCCUUUGAAGCAAUUAAGCUGAUCCUAUUCCACCGAGAGGCAGCUGUUUCAGGUUUUGAGAAAUUGAAGAAGGAUAUGGUGCUAUGGUUGAGGCGAGCAUAAUCUAUGGCAUGCCACCUUCAAACAAUACCAUAGCAGGGACAAUUAAGGUAUCAUUGUUAAAUGGUUCUUGAUGACCAUGAACUACAUUUAUGGGUGAAGAACAGAGUGUCAAUGACCUACCAGAGCUCUUCUGCAACAACAGCUGAAUCUGCUAAUUUACGGCGGGUGCGAUAACUCCUAUACACCUUUUGCAGCUUCACUGCUGCUGUUCUGGAUUCGGAAUCAUCAUUUUCUUUAAGUGAUUCUGAGGUUGACAACGAUUGGCCAUUGAGCUCCAUCCGGUGUUGAAAACAGGAGAAAAAUGGACAUCUAUUAUUAUGUUAUAUAGUACUAGCAUUUGGUUGCAGUAAGUUGGUGGUGUUGUUUAAUGAGUAGUUUGACAAAUCAAAGACUUGAAAGGACAGCUAGUAACUUGGUGAACUGUUAAGCAAAGAUGGACGAAGAAAGGACAGUGAGAAUGGAGAAUUAGAGCGAGCGUCUUUUAGGCUUUAGCCUCUGCAAAGACAGUCCACUCUCAAAUUGCAGGGCUUCAUUUCUGAUUUAAGGUUUCUUGUUUCCCUUAGUUUCAAUCUACUGCCGAGUGCUUCUGCAGAAGUACUGGAUGCCUGUUCUACGGUUAUACGCUCUCAACAUUCAAUUAGUGUUAUCAAUCAAGCCAGCAAGUGAUCUCAUUUUACUGCA